This 274-nucleotide ribosomal RNA is filed under the name uncultured bacterium. RNAcentral's name for it is "partial 16S ribosomal RNA". It matches the Rfam family "Bacterial small subunit ribosomal RNA", at positions 523 to 796 of the family's 1533-position model. The record is from RNAcentral.
CUACGGAGGGUCCGAGCGUUAUCCGGAAUCAUUGGGUUUAAAGGGUCCGUAGGCGGGAAUCUAAGUCAGUGGUGAAAUCUUGCAGCUCAACUGUAAAAUUGCCAUUGAUACUGGAUUUCUUGAAUUAGUGUGAAGUGGUUAGAAUGUGUAGUGUAGCGGUGAAAUGCAUAGAUAUUACACAGAAUACCAAUUGCGAAGGCAGAUCACUAACACUAUAUUGACGCUAAGGGACGAAAGCGUGGGGAGCGAACAGGAUUAGAAACCCCAGUAGUCC